CGCACGGGUGAGUAACACGUAUCCAACCUGCCGUCUACUCUUGGACAGCCUUCUGAAAGGAAGAUUAAUACAAGAUGGCAUCAUGAGUCCGCAUGUUCACAUGAUUAAAGGUAUUCCGGUAGACGAUGGGGAUGCGUUCCAUUAGGUAGUAGGCGGGGUAACGGCCCACCUAGUCUUCGAUGGAUAGGGGUUCUGAGAGGAAGGUCCCCCACAUUGGAACUGAGACACGGUCCAA
This 235-nucleotide ribosomal RNA is filed under the name uncultured bacterium. RNAcentral describes it as "partial 16S ribosomal RNA". It matches the Rfam family "Bacterial small subunit ribosomal RNA", at positions 99 to 334 of the family's 1533-position model. The record is from RNAcentral.